AUGCCCGCAGGAGGUUGGUCUGAUCUCCCGCCGGAUCUGGCCCGCGAGAUCUCCCGCCGCCUGCAGCACGACGCCGUCGACUUAGUCCGCUUCCACGCCGUGUGCAAGCCAUGGCGGGACUCCCGGACGACAACGGCGACCGACCAGUUUCUGCCCUGGCUCGUCACCGCGGUGAAGGAGGACGAGACGCGCCUGGAGAUGAGAUGCGUCCUCUCGGGGACCAACUACCGCUCGCAGCCGCUGCUAUCCGAGCCGGCCCGGUGGAACUGGGUGACCGGCUCCGGCGGCACCGCUCUCCGGUUCCUGACCAUCGAACGCCUCCGCCCUAGUCUCCAUGACCCUCUCAUCGGAUCAGCCGAACACCUGCCUCUACUCCCGCAAUCCGUCGGCCGGUGGGGGGAGGAGAUCGACCCCCACGGCGUCAUCAACGGCAACGGUGCAACCCUUCUCUACAGCAUCUCCACCACCGGCGACAUGGUUGGGCACAGGCCCACAGCCAGGUUCACAGCGGCUCUACUUCGCCCCGGCGACGCAGAGUGGACAAUCCUCGAGAGGAUCCUCGAGCAUAAGUAUGAGCAUCGGUUCGGGACCUGGUCACUUCGUCAGCCUGUUUUGACGUCUGUCACAUACCACGAUGGUAAGAUCCUGGUCGUCAUGAAGGAUGACCAACCGUGGCGCCUCGCCACACCAAACUGCAAUAUCACCUGCGAUGAGCUUGUCAAGAGCCAGGGGCCGCCGGCGGUGCAGGUGUGGUUUGGCGAAUCCACCUGCAAUUACAGCUACGUCCUUGAGUCCCGUGGCGAGAUUCUACGGCUGUCAAUCAACACCUGGGAAUAUAACAGGUAUCUCAAGGGGACAAACCCCUACCUUCUCAAAGUCAAGGUGUCACUGCAGGCACUCGAGGGGCAACUAUUGUCAGAAUCGUCACCACUGGAGAAGAUGAGAUGGGUGAGAAGGGAUGGCCGUAGUCUGGCCGAUCGCGUGCUUUUCCUCGGUAUGUGCCAUAGCUUUGUUGUGGAUGCGGGGCGGGUUCCCAACGUCCAUGGCGGGUGUGCCUACUUCGUUUACCACAAUGAUAAUGCCUUUACAUAUGGCAAGCGUGCCGUGUUCCGGUGCAACCUCAUCAAUGGGAGGACAGAGCUUGUACAGCGGCUGCCUCAAUGUUGGGACUACAGAAUGUGCCUGUGGUUCAACCCCGAGUCCGUCAAUACUCCUCCCAAGGAAAUCAGUGAGGGGCCACAGAUGCAGCAACAGCAGAUAGCACCAACAAUUUCUAGUCCUCCAAGGCACACCAUUCACAUUGAGAGACAUCGUGUGCCCAGGUUUAGGGUGCUGGUGCGCAAUCUUCCUCUCACGGUGAACAGCACACAACUACGAUUCUUCUUCGGCGAGCACGGUAAAGUGUCCAGUGCUGAGGUGAUUUUCUAUAAGAAGACCAGGGCCUCACAGGGUAUUGGCCAUGUGACCAUAGAGACAACACAUUCCCAUCAGGAAGAUGCUCUUGCUGCUCUCAAUGAACUGGUUUUGGAUGGAUGUUGUCUCAAGGUUACCUUGAUCAAGGAGGAUCAGCCACCACAACGUCAGCAUAAGCGCAGAUAG
Molecule: ribosomal RNA, 1599 nt
Filed under: Triticum aestivum (bread wheat)
Lineage: Eukaryota; Viridiplantae; Streptophyta; Magnoliopsida; Poales; Poaceae
Description: partial small subunit ribosomal RNA
Source: RNAcentral